UUUACAUUGAGCUCGCCCCGCGCUGCUAUUUACUUUGAAACCUGAUUAGUAUGGGCCGUCUAUUGUCACCAAAAAGAGGAAGAAACCCUGGAUAGAAUAGCGGAAAAAAAAAGCGGGUUAAAGGCAAGAGAGGGAGAGAUGGAGAACGAGAGAGAGAGAGAGAGAGAGAGAGAGAGAGAGAGAGAGGAGGUGGGGGACAAAGCUUUUAAGCACGACAAAUAAAACCAAAAGCUGUACGCAGCGACCAAAAGGGGGGAUUCUGACUCAGAUUUCCCCCCCUUAAAGUUUCAAAAUGCCUUGUCUCGGACUGUUAUCUUUAUUAUAAAACUAACUGGGGUCUCUGCUGCUUUGGAACGGAUUAAUAUUUUCACACGCUGUUUUUUUUUUUUUUGUCCUUGGCAUGCGCAUUGCGGUACAGCAUCAUCUGUAAUCGCCACCAGUUUUGCUCAUUAAAACUUAUAAUUUAGUUUAAGAGCAGUUUAGGAAAAUAUCACUGUGCAGAACGAUGUGCAAAUACCGCGUUAUACUGGAUACAUUUGCAGAUGCGGGCAAUUUCUUAAAAUUGGAAGCGACGUUUAACCAUCACCAACACCACACAGUCACACAAACACUUAAAUAGGAGUGGCUUUAUGUGCUAAUAAUGACAUUAAUUCAAAAUCGAGUGAAGUUACGGGGAAUUUGCACGGGGAUUCCAGCUUUUAUGCAUCAGUGUUUCUGCAGGCUUUCAGACUCAAAAAUGUCUGGAUCGCGCUGCCAUCUAGCGUACGUUGUGCAAUUACAUCCCCAUAAUGUCGAGGUACAAGCCAUAAAACUUGCAUUUUUAAGCGCUUAAAUGAAGAUUUUUAAAAAUAUAUAUAAAAUUGAUUUAAAUGUGCGUAAAAUUAUUUUGCUUACUUUUCUAGUUCGUAAAAAGUAAAACAUGCUUGGUAAAUAUAUUUGUUGAAAUGAGUAAAUAAUUAGGAAAAGAUAAACAGGUAUUGAUUAAAUUACUAUAAUUCGAGUGCAACGGUGCUUUGUAAUUACAAUGACGCGCCCUUUAUAUAAAACAAAGAAAAAAGUACACAUUCCAUCCAAAAGCAUGGGAAAAUUAUAUCCAAUACUUAAAGGCAAAAAGGUACUUUAAUGCGACAAAGUAUGUAUAAACUUCUCUGGACCCCAACAGAGACAUAAGAAGAUAUAACAUAGCGUUAAUAUAUGCAAGUGCCCCUGUUUGAAAGCGCAUAUAGGAGGGAUGGCUUGUUUUUUAAGUAUUCAACAAGAGAACUCUCUCUCCCCGUCCCUGUCUCGGACACACACCAUGGAAACUCUCCGGCCAUGUCUCCAGUUCUCUGAAAAGGUGAAACCAAUAAGAUUAAAUAGGACAAUGCUUUUUACCCCCUUUUUCCCCCUUUGGUGUAUCAUUAAGAUUUAACUCCGCACAUUUGGUAAAAGAAAGGGGGUCCGCAUGAGGGAAGAAGAGGAGAGAGAAGAGUGAGAGGGGGAAGCGAAUAGGAAGCGGGGUAUUGGAGAGGCUCUGCAAAAAACCUGCAUGUGGAGAAAGUGGACAGACGGAAUGUUGGAAAAAGAACAAGAAGAAGCAUCGGCGCAGGAGCAGCAACUUUGCAGCCACGAAGGCUCACAGCGUUUGGGCCACAGGAGGAGUCCGAACACACGGUGGGACAUGCUGAAGGAGGACUGAGAUACUGGACUUGGAUUUCUCUUAUGCUGUUUGAUUUUAGGAAGUGGAUGUCACUGUUUGUUAGGAAAGAGGGUUAUAUACUAAUGAAAUUUAAGAUGAAAGUUAAGUUCAUCCUUAUUUUUGAUUUCAAGAUGUGCCCUUUUUGAAUACCAUUUCCAAUUUCAUAUCGUGUUCAUUGUGUUAAGAUGUGGAAAAGAAUGUAGUUUGCUAUUCUGGGAACCUAAUCAGCUACUUUCAUUGCAGGAUGUCAAAAUGAAAAUGAAAUUAUAUUGAUGGCUUGUGAAGACAUAGAUGUAUCAUAGAAUCAGUGACUAAAUGAUAGUUUGCCUAAUUAGGGUUAAACUUUUUUACUUUUUUUUCUUUUGGUUGUAAACACAUAAGUAGCAUGAUGUUAAAAUAGCAAUAAUUUCCUUAAUUUAUUCUAUAAAAUGCACCAAACAGCCUAUUUCUGACCAACACUGAAUUUCAAUGUUAUUUGAGGUCUUAUCUGCCAAUUCCAAUUUUUUUCCUAUUCCAAUUGUUCUUGUAAGCACUAUACCAGACAAUAGAGGAAUACAUGUUCCCUGAUAGAAACAGUAGUUUUGAAUUCAAUAGAAAGCAAAGGUUUACAAAAUAAUCACCCUUUAGGCAUUAAAGCCUAUGUAAUCUACCUUUCUGUGUUUCUAUUACACUCAAAAAAGUUUGUCAUGGUGCAGACUGUAGGUUGAUGCUGUGAGUUUCUACUUAUGAUGAAUUUAAUGAGCAGGAAAGAAUGAGAUUUUUUGUUAUUUGAAUGCUUUUUGGUCAUAGAAAGUGUUCAGUAGAAUACUUUUAUAAUAGAUUGGAUAACAUAAAAGUUAAAAUUUAUCCUCA
Molecule: long non-coding RNA, 2530 nt
Organism: Girardinichthys multiradiatus
Lineage: Eukaryota; Metazoa; Chordata; Actinopteri; Cyprinodontiformes; Goodeidae
Exons: 2
Source: RefSeq, a predicted model, not a curated record